ACGGGAGGCAGCAGUGGGGGAUAUUGCACAAUGGGGGAAACCCUGAUGCAGCGACGCCGCGUGAGUGAUGAAGUAUUUCGGUAUGUAAAGCUCUAUCAGCAGGAAAGAUAAUGACGGCACCUGACUAAGAAGCCCCGGCUAACUACGUGCCAGCAGCCGCGGUAAUACGUAGGGGGCAAGCGUUAUCCGGAUUUACUGGGUGUAAAGGGAGCGUAGACGGCAUGGCAAGUCUGAUGUGAAAACCCAGGGCUCAACCCUGGGACUGCAUUGGAAACUGUCAAGCUAGAGUGCAGGAGAGGUAAGUGGAAUUCCUAGUGUAGCGGUGAAACGCGUAGAUAUUAGGAGGAACACCAGUGGCGAAGGCGGCUUACUGGACUGUAACUGACGUUGAGGCUCGAAAGCGUGGGGAGCAAACAGGAUUAGAUACCCUGGUA
Molecule: ribosomal RNA, 434 nt
Filed under: uncultured Clostridium sp.
Lineage: Bacteria; Bacillati; Bacillota; Clostridia; Eubacteriales; Clostridiaceae
Description: partial 16S ribosomal RNA
Rfam family: Bacterial small subunit ribosomal RNA
Source: RNAcentral